This is a long non-coding RNA of Mesoplodon densirostris (Blainville's beaked whale), 1070 nucleotides long. RefSeq lists it as uncharacterized. The record is from RefSeq and is a predicted model, not a curated record. NCBI's taxonomy places the organism in Eukaryota, Metazoa, Chordata, Mammalia, Artiodactyla, Ziphiidae. The transcript has 5 exons.
GGUCCUCAGUCCCCCAGCCUCCAGAGCUCGGCUGCGGGCCUCGGGCCGAAGUGAGGAGUGCGCGUGGGCGAAGGAAUUCUCCCGGGGAGAUAAGCCUGGCCUCAGACCCUCCCUGGGACACCGUGGGCCGGACGCCUGGAGGAAGAGAGGAGGAGAGGGCCGACCGCUCCUCACAGACCCUGCGGGGGCCGCGGCCCAAGGGUCCUUCUGCUCAGGAAUGAAUCUGAGGACAGGCAACAUCCUGGUGAUGCUCCAGACUUUCCAGCUGGCUUGGUGUAGAGGACCUGUGGGAUGUGCUGAGGAGGACUGCGGGAGAGGAGGGUGGCCGUGCUUCAGAGGCUGCCCCAUCAGCCCAGGUUAACGAAGGAAGACGUGGAGCAGAGCCCAGCCCACCCGUGCUGGACGUGGCACCAGAGGUUUCUCACCAGUAUGAAUUGUGUGAUGUCGAGUAAGUUCUGCUUGAAGACGAAAGGCAUCCCCACAUUCUUUACACCCAUAAGGUUUCUCACCAGUAUGAAGUCUAAAAUGUUGAGUAAGAUGAUAUCGGCGACUAAAAGUCUUUCCACAUUCCUUACAUUCAUACGGAAUCUCACCAGUGUGAAUUCUUUGAUGUAAGGGGGCAGACAUUCAGCUGGUGUCUUAAAACAGAGCUCUGAAAUUCAACAAUGGAGAAAACUGAUAUUCCAGAAAACAGAUUGAUUGUCAGUUAUUUGCACAGAUAUCCUUACCCAAUGAGACCAAGUUGCUGUAGUUCUCCAACAUCACAUCCCUGUACAAGGCCCUCUGAACAGGGUCCAGGCACUCCCAUUCCUCCUGGGAGAGGUCUAUGGCCACGUCCCUGAAUGACAAGGACAUCUGAAAUGACAGACCCAUGUAUCAUAAACAACGUUUUAAAUGUAUUUUCAAGAUGGAAAACUGCUUUGCAAGAAAGAGGCAAUGAUAAAGCAAGCAGUAAACUGAGGUUCAAGCCCGUGGUAUGUAGAGAAGAAUAAGAAAAUCAGUGAUUUCUAAAGUGGAAUGCCUAUAUGUUUUUAAAGAAUACAGUUGGUACAAACAGAAUGUCCUGUAUA